CCUACGGGAGGCAGCAGUGAGGGAUAUUGGUCACUGGGCGCCAGCCUGAUGGAGCAACACCGCGUGAGUGAAGAAGGGUUUCGGCUCGUAAAGCUCUGUUGUUGGAGAAGAACGUUCGUGAGAGUAACUGUUCACGCAGUGACGGUAUCCACCCAGACAGUCACGGCUAACUACGUGCCAGCAGCCGCGGUAAUACGUAGGUGGCAAGCGUUAUCCGGAUUUAUUGGGCGUAAAGCGAGCGCAGGCGGUUGCUUAGGUCUGAUGUGAAAGCCUUCGGCUUAACCGAAGAAGUGCAUCGGAAACCGGGCGACUUGAGUGCAGAAGAGGACAGUGGAACUCCAGGUGUAGCGGUGGAAUGCGUAGAUAUAUGGAAGAACACCAGUGGCGAAGGCGGCUGGCUGGUCUGCAACUGACGCUGAGGCUCGAAAGCAUGGGUAGCGAACAGGAUUAGAUACCCUUGUAGUC
Molecule: ribosomal RNA, 465 nt
Filed under: uncultured bacterium
Lineage: Bacteria
Description: partial 16S ribosomal RNA
Rfam family: Bacterial small subunit ribosomal RNA
Source: RNAcentral